AUGGUGAGCUGGCCCGGCAUUUGCAAGCCCAAAGACCAGGGUAGCCUUGGGAUCCUGUCAUCUCGCCGCACGAACAUUGCUCUCCUGACCCGCUGGCUGUGGUGUAUCGCCAAUGGGAAGGGAGGCCUCUGGCUGACCAUCAUCCGUAAUAAAUACCUGAGGGGCCAACCUCUAGCCUUUUGCCAGCGUACGGGUGGCUCCCAGUUCUGGCAGUCCGUGGUCCAGCUUCUGGCCGUCCUCCGCCUCGGCACGUCCAUCUCUGUUGGAUCUAGGGCCUCGACCCUGUUCUGGUUCGACCGCUAGCUUGGGGACUCCCCCUUGGCUGUGUGUUUCCUAGAACUAUUUGCCAUUGCGGCUGACCCUCGGGUCUCUAUCGAGACGACCCUUAUUGACUUAGGGCGUCUCGCUUUCCGUCGCCCCUUCGGCCCACUCGAGGUGGCUGCUUGGGACUCCCUCCUCCAAGACGUGGCCCUUAUGCCGAUGAACGUUGAGGAGGACCAGGAUGCCAUUUCGUGGCAUCUGGAGCCGUCUGGCCGCUUCUCCACGAAAUCCUUGUAUGCGGCCAUCGCGCCCUCGACGGCCCCGGAACCAUUUAGCCUGAUUUGGGAGAUCUGCCUCCCUCUGAAGAUCAGGAUCUUUCUGUGGCAAUGGAUCCGCGGACGCCUCCCCUCUGGGGUCGAAGUCCUCAAGCGUACCGGCCCGGGCGAUGGAAUUUGUCUCAUCUGUGGCACGAUCGAGGAUGCUAACCACAUCUUCUUCUCGUGCUCUACUGCCCAGUUCAUAUGGGCCUGCUUCCACGAAAUGGUCGGUGGCCAGUGGUGCAAUACCAAUUUCCCCGACUUACUUGCGGAGCUGAACGCCUUCCCUCCUCGCUACCGCCAUAUUAGAUGGUUGUGCGUUGGGAUCCUCGCCUUGCGGAGCUGA
This 924-nucleotide ribosomal RNA is filed under the name Triticum aestivum (bread wheat). RNAcentral describes it as "partial small subunit ribosomal RNA". Lineage: Eukaryota; Viridiplantae; Streptophyta; Magnoliopsida; Poales; Poaceae. The record is from RNAcentral.